GUUUGUGGUAACCAUAGAACACAGAAGUGGAGCUUUAUCCAGAGUGGUAAAGCUAAAACAGACAGCUAGGGUGAGUGAGAAAUGCCGAAUACUUAGAAAAAAAAUAGAAAAGGGUCAAGAUGGAAACCAAAGGCAGAAGUGAGAAGUUAUACAAGCUAGGAAGUUCACAGAAGACAGAGGAUGAACUAGGUCUCAAGAGUCCAGCAUCUGAGACUCUAGGAUCAAGCUAAAGACAAAGUGAAGCUUUCUCUAUUUUUUUCUUAAAUAUUUCCUUUCUAGAAAAGAAAAAAACAACCCAAUCUGCAUUUGAAGAACUGGCCAUAUAGUUGUGUGGAAAGUGGGUGAAAUAACAAGGAAACGACAAAGAAUAUGGCCAGUCUAGUUAAUUUCUUGAGCAGGAAACUGGAUCAGUUAACGGAAACAAAUAACGUAGUAAUGGGUAAGACAAAGCCUGGAUAUUUGAGAGCCCACAUUUGGGGGAAAAUUACGAAGACAGAGGGCAGUGUCAUAUGGAAGAGGAAACGAAAAGGAUGCAGGAAAUCAUUUUUAAAUGUACCUGUGAUCUAUGGUGUUGAAUAUCAAAUGUUGCAAAGAUGUUGAGAAAUGGCAGAUCUGAUAAUGGUGGAUUGCUAUUGCCCCUGGAAAGAACUUUCCAUAGAAUUUGUGCCCUCCACACUAAGAGAGGUUUUCUGGGUGCUACAGAAAAUAGAUAAGAGUUAGUUUUACACGGAAAAAUCUCCAAUAGUUUUCUCUCGCUAUCAACAUUCAUUCUUCUUGGCCCCCAGGAAUAAGCAGUGCCUCCUGGGGUGGCCAGAUACAUGUAUACUGAUCCGUGUCAUCGGAAAGAAGGAGGGGAUCUACUGGAUUCUGAUUUGGGAUCCAAUUCAGAAUGGAUCAUACAGUCAGGGAAGUUAUAAUGCAGUAUAAGUAACGAACGUCUCCAUUCCUAAUGUAAUGUGAAGGCUGCACUGCAUGGGCUCCAAAGUCCCAUCUACCUCUAACCUUCUGGACAUGUGGGUCAAGGAAUAAAAACUCUGGCAGGCAACAAAAAGGAUGGGAAAUGUGACAGGCACAGAGAUGUGCUACUCAGAUCACCCUUCAGGAAAGGACUUGCCUGCCAUCCAGCUGUGUGACGUGUGGGCAGCCGACAGGUUUCAGCUGUUAGAGCCUUUAGGCUCCAUCUCACUCUCGAGCUCAUGGAUUGCUCAGAGCAGAGCUUGGUCAAUAGUGGAACAAGGUGGUGACACCAAGGCUUAGCCCAGUGACUCCUGUGCUGAGCGAUCUUUGCUCCAGAGUUCCCCAUUGGUCUGGCAGAGACUGUCAGGUCUGCAUGAGGGUCUACCCAAUCCAACUUCCCUCCCUUUACUUGUACAGAGUUCCCUCUCUAAGACACCUUUUGUACUUCUAACUCCCUCUUAGGAUCUGCUUCCUGGAGAACCCCCAUGGUGACAGAGGAUGAGUUGCAAACAAAGUGGCAUGCAAUGCAGAAGAGGGUGUGAUGGAUCCAACCACUGGGGGAACUGAGGAAGGUGAAGUCAUGAAGGAAACUGCAUUUGAGUUGACUCUGAAGAUGAACAGGAGUUGAAUGAGUAGGAAAGAAGAAAAUAGGCAUUUCAAGCAGCGGGAUGGACACAUGCACAAAGGCAUGUUAUAAAGAGCAGGAUGUGGGAGCAUGGGUAAUGCAUGGAACCAUGUGGACGUGUGCAGUGGUCGGGGUGGGGGAUGAAGCGGGGAGAUAAAGCUGGGAAAUACGGGAUCCAACAUAAACAGCUGUCACAAACACUCUAUGUAUAUACUCCUAUUGGUUUGUAGACUCUGAUAAAGGGAAAUGGUAGUCCUGGGAGAAGAAUGAGCUGUACAAAGCAAUAAAAUAUGUAGAAUUCCAUAGCAUAGUAUUUUUGACAGCCCUAAAACAGAUAUUUUACUUCUAUGUAGGUGGUUUCCUUGAAAAAAUAGCACCUGCUAUUUGUUAAGGAGAGAAUGAAUUACUUGUCCCAUGGUACAGUUAAAUCAAUCAUAUCAUAACACCAAUCUAUCAUGUAAAAUUCAUCUCUAGGCCCAUGUUUUGAGGAAAGAAAAUGGCAGUUAAUAUUCCUAUUGCUGACUACUUAUUCAAGAGAAGAAAAAGACAUGUUUAUGUGGUUCUAAAAUAACUUCCUUAAGCCCAUUAUCAAAUUCUAACAAGGAAGACCAUCCAUCCUAAGGAAGUUAUUUUAUAAAUCAUAAUUUGCUUUUAUUAAAAAAAAAUUACCAAACUGCAUUCCAAGAAACACAGAGUCCUGUGGGUU
This 2288-nucleotide long non-coding RNA is filed under the name Homo sapiens (human). RNAcentral's name for it is "HSALNT0237419". The record is from RNAcentral. Lineage: Eukaryota; Metazoa; Chordata; Mammalia; Primates; Hominidae.